GGGGAAUAUUGCACAAUGGGCGCAAGCCUGAUGCAGCGACGCCGCGUGAGGGAUGGAGGCCUUCGGGUUGUAAACCUCUUUUAUCGGGGAGCAAGCGAGAGUGAGUUUACCCGUUGAAUAAGCACCGGCUAACUACGUGCCAGCAGCCGCGGUAAUACGUAGGGUGCAAGCGUUAUCCGGAAUUAUUGGGCGUAAAGGGCUCGUAGGCGGUUCGUCGCGUCCGGUGUGAAAGUCCAUCGCUUAACGGUGGAUCCGCGCCGGGUACGGGCGGGCUUGAGUGCGGUAGGGGAGACUGGAAUUCCCGGUGUAACGGUGGAAUGUGUAGAUAUCGGGAAGAACACCAAUGGCGAAGGCAGGUCUCUGGGCCGUUACUGACGCUGAGGAGCGAAAGCGUGGGGAGCGAACAGGAUUAGAUACCCUGGUAGUCCACGCCGUAAACGGUGGAUGCUGGAUGUGGGGCCCGUUCCACGGGUUCCGUGUCGGAGCUAACGCGUUAAGCAUCCCGCCUGGGGAGUACGGCCGCAAGGCUAAAACUCAAAGAAAUUGACGGGGGCCCGCACAAGCGGCGGAGCAUGCGGAUUAAUUCGAUGCAACGCGAAGAACCUUACCUGGGCUUGACAUGUUCCCGACGGUCGUAGAGAUACGGCUUCCCUUCGGGGCGGGUUCACAGGUGGUGCAUGGUCGUCGUCAGCUCGUGUCGUGAGAUGUUGGGUUAAGUCCCGCAACGAGCGCAACCCUCGCCCCGUGUUGCCAGCGGAUUAUGCCGGGAACUCACGGGGGACCGCCGGGGUUAACUCGGAGGAAGGUGGGGAUGACGUCAGAUCAUCAUGCCCCUUACGUCCAGGGCUUCACGCAUGCUACAAUGGCCGGUACAACGGGAUGCGACGCGGCGACGCGGAGCGGAUCCCUGAAAACCGGUCUCAGUUCGGAUCGCAGUCUGCAACUCGACUGCGUGAAGGCGGAGUCGCUAGUAAUCGCGAAUCAGCAACGUCGCGGUGAAUGCGUUCCCGGGCCUUGUACACAC
RNAcentral lists this ribosomal RNA (1024 nucleotides) under uncultured bacterium. RNAcentral describes it as "bacterial SSU rRNA". It matches the Rfam family "Bacterial small subunit ribosomal RNA", at positions 356 to 1390 of the family's 1533-position model. The record is from RNAcentral.